Oncorhynchus keta (chum salmon) is the source of this 1883-nucleotide long non-coding RNA. RefSeq lists it as uncharacterized. The transcript has 3 exons. NCBI's taxonomy places the organism in Eukaryota, Metazoa, Chordata, Actinopteri, Salmoniformes, Salmonidae. The record is from RefSeq and is a predicted model, not a curated record.
AUGAGAUAUUCUGGGCAGUUGAAUAAAACGCAAACUGAGUACCAGGAAGAACUUUCCCCUUCAAAUGAGGAAAACGACUGUCUGCAAAGGCUGCUUGAAGUCGCUGUUAUUAAACCUGAGAUCAGGCUACACAUAGCAGUCUACGCUUGGCGACUCAUGACGUUUACAUUGUCAUUUUAUCCAGACCUCCAGCAGCUCACUCUCCAUGGUGAUCAGGGGGUUCCCCCUGAUCAGCAGCACUGUGUGCAAGAGUGGAGCCCUGGUCUGGGACAGGAGGACCUAGAGCCUACACAUAUUACAGAGGAACGUGGGGAGCUCAGGACCAGUCAGUGGGAAGAGCAGCUUCCAAAGCUGGAAGAUGAUACCAAAUACUCCAUAUUCACUCUUGCCUGUGUGAAAAGUGACUGUGAUGAGAACCUAAUUCUGCACUCAUAUCUUUAUCGUGGUCAACAUUAAGUUAAUGAAGAAAGGGUAUCUCUCCCCAGCACCUCAACUAAAUAGAUCCAUACAGAACCUUAUGAAGAGGACUACAUAGUAUCAGAACUAACCAGUGACUGUCAUUCUCUUGCUGCAGUAAUCCAGACUGUUCUGCAGUCAAUGGGGUGGAAAGUUAAGUCCCUCAGUCAGGUUUUAAGCCCAGCAAAUCAAAUAUAACAUGGACAGUAAAAAGACAAAGCUCCUGUGUCAAUAAUAAGGGUAGGAAUUCUACAGUCAUCCAAUCUGAAAUCACCCAGUCAACGUCAUAAUGCUUCUUGUCAUUGUAAGGUCCUUCCUUUCUACUUGCCUCCAGACAUCCUCUGUCAACAGUCAGUCUCUGGAGAGGUUCCCCCUGAGCAGCAGCACUGUGUGAAGUAGUGGAGCCCCAGCCUGGGACAGGAAGACCCAGAGCCUACACAGAUAAAGGAAGAACUCGGAACCAGUCAGUGUGAAGAGCAGCCUCAAGAACUGGAAGAUGAUACCAAAGACUCCCAUGUUCUUUCCUGCCUUUAUGGAAUAUGACUGUGAGGAUCCAACUCUGCACUCAAAUCUUUAUCAUGCCCAAAAUGAUGGAAAAGAAGAGUCUCUACCCAUCACCUCAACUGCACAAACAGAAACUGGUGGAGAUUACUACAGAGUAUCAGAACCAACUAGUGAUUCUCAGCCCAUCUCUGUAGGGAAUCCAUACUGUUCAGCAGCUCAAGAGUAAAAACAUGGAUAGGAUGGGAAUUGGAGGACCUCAGGUUAAGCCUGUAAAAUCAAAGAAAACAUGAACAGUAAAGACAAAGCUCCCAUAUAAACACUAAGGGUAAGAAAUCCAGUGUUGCCCAAUCUGAAAUCACCCAGGCAAAAUGACAAUGCACUUUGCCAUAGAAGUGUGUAGAAAGUAGUGUAUGGAAAAUCUUUCCACUACAUGGGUUCAUUAAUGAAACAUGCAAACUCAUACGAAGGAGAAAUAACCUAUUUGUGGUAUGUGGGAAAUGUUUUUGGGCCACUUUAAGUAUGAAACAUCCCAUCAAAACUCACAUUGCAGAUAUGAUGUUUGUAGUAAAUGAUUCAUUAGCAAUAGGGAUCUGAUUGUGCACAUGAGAAGCCACACUGAGCAGGAAGCGUAUCAAUGUUCUGUAAUAAAAGUCACAAUGGGGAAAAUGUGUAAGAGUGCAAUGAUUGGAGUAAAUAUUUAAUUGACAGGGGCUGCAUGAACUUCCAAAAGGCCCACGCAGGCCACUGUUAACUAUUUUGCUCAGAGUGGUGGUCAGUGCCGUUUAAGAUGAGAGAGGAUGAUACUUUUUUUAGGAGCAAGGCCUUGUUUAUAUUACAGCAUAUUGGAUGACUGUCAUUCAUAUUUCAUUCACCCAGCACCCAAUGUAACAUCGAUAGGUUUAGGCUACUAAAUGAUGCUCAAA